GACGAACGCUGGCGGCGUGCCUAAUACAUGCAAGUAGAACGCUGAAGGAGGAGCUUGCUUCUCUGGACGAGUUGCGAACGGGUGAGUAACGCGUAGGUAACCUGCCUGGUAGCGGGGGAUAACUAUUGGAAACGAUAGCUAAUACCGCAUAAUAGCAGUUAUUGCAUGAUAACUGUUUGAAAGGUGCAAUUGCACCACUACCAGAUGGACCUGCGUUGUAUUAGCUAGUUGGUGGGGUAACGGCUCACCAAGGCGACGAUACAUAGCCGACCUGAGAGGGUGAUCGGCCACACUGGGACUGAGACACGGCCCAGACUCCUACGGGAGGCAGCAGUAGGGAAUCUUCGGCAAUGGACGGAAGUCUGACCGAGCAACGCCGCGUGAGUGAAGAAGGUUUCCGGAUCGUAAAGCUCUGUUGUAAGAGAAGAACGAGUGUGAGAGUGGAAAGUUCACACUGUGACGGUAUCUUACCAGAAAGAGACGGCUAACUACGUG
Molecule: ribosomal RNA, 495 nt
Filed under: uncultured bacterium
Lineage: Bacteria
Description: partial 16S ribosomal RNA
Rfam family: Bacterial small subunit ribosomal RNA
Source: RNAcentral